This 466-nucleotide ribosomal RNA is filed under the name uncultured Pelotomaculum sp. Its description in RNAcentral is "bacterial SSU rRNA". It matches the Rfam family "Bacterial small subunit ribosomal RNA", at positions 918 to 1380 of the family's 1533-position model. The record is from RNAcentral. Lineage: Bacteria; Bacillati; Bacillota; Clostridia; Eubacteriales; Desulfotomaculaceae.
CGGGCCGCACAGCGUGGAGCAUGUGGUUUUAAUUCGAAGCAACGCGAAGUAACCUUACCAGGUCUUGACAUCCCGAUGCUAUUUCUAGAGAUAGAAAGUUACUUCGGUACAUCGGUGACAGGUGGUGCAUGGUUGUCGUCAGCUCGUGUCGUGAGAUGUUGGGUUAAGUCCCGCAACGAGCGCAACCCCUACGUUUAGUUGCUUAACGCGUGAAGGCGAGCACUCUAGACGAACUGCCGUUGACAAAACGGAGGAAGGUGGGAUGACGUCAAAUCAUCAUGCCCCUUAUGCUCUGGGCUACACACGUGCUACAAUGGCCGGUACAGACGGACGCAAAGCCGCGAGGUGGAGCAAAUCCUAAAAAGCCGGUCUCAGUUCGGAUUGCAGGCUGCAAUUCGCCUGCAUGAAGUCGGAAUCGCUAGUAAUCGCAGGUCAGCAUACUGCGGUGAAUACGUUCCCGGGCCUU